RNAcentral lists this unclassified non-coding RNA (147 nucleotides) under soil metagenome. RNAcentral's name for it is "partial internal transcribed spacer 1". The record is from RNAcentral.
CCGAGUUUACAACUCCCAAACCCCUGUGAACAUACCACUUGUUGCCUCGGCGGAUCAGCCCGCUCCCGGUAAAACGGGACGGCCCGCCAGAGGACCCCCAAACUCUGUUUCUAUAUGUGACUUCUGAGUAAAACCAUAAAUAAAUCA